Molecule: unclassified non-coding RNA, 3804 nt
Filed under: Bactrocera latifrons
Lineage: Eukaryota; Metazoa; Arthropoda; Insecta; Diptera; Tephritidae
Description: voltage-dependent calcium channel type D subunit alpha-1, transcript variant X15
Source: RNAcentral
CUCUUUUAAAUAAAUAAAUAAAUAAAAAUAAAUUGUUGUAUAAGUCUAGUUUCGAAUGGUGGUGCCACCUCGUAAAAAGCCCACACACCUAUUAAUUUACAGAAACAAGAUCCGAAAAAGCAUGAUUAUACAUAGAAACAUCCACAAAUACGAAUACGUACCUGUGUAGAUUAAAUACGCGAAUUUGGAAAGGAGGUUCUAAAAUUAACGCAAAACGCUUUUGAUAAUUUUGUAAAAUUUACGUUUCAGAUUCUUACUGGUGAAGAUUGGAAUGUGGUUAUGUAUGACGGAAUACUUGCUUACGGAGGAAUAAAAACAUUUGGUGCAUUGGCAUGCAUCUAUUUUAUAAUUUUAUUCAUAUGCGGCAAUUAUAUUUUGUUGAACGUUUUCUUAGCUAUUGCUGUUGAUAAUCUUGCUGAUGCAGAUUCUUUAACAACAAUCGAAAAGGAAGAAGAAAUUGAUGAUGGUAAAAAUAACAAAUCACACAGCCCCACUCCAACUAUUGAAGGUGCAGAAGAGGAAAAUAUAAAUAUAGAAAUGGAUUUGGAUGGACAUUGUAUUGAAAUAGAAAAAUUGGAUGAGGAUCCUUCUGAAGGUGAAGAGGACGAAAUAUGCGAUGAGGAACUGGAAGAAUCCCGUUCCGAAGUAACACCUAGAGCAACUGCACGACCUCGACGUCUCUCUGAAAUCAGCAUUAAGAAGACUAAAAAACCAAUGCCAAGAGGAAGUUCAUUUUUUAUAUUUAGUAACACAAACAGGUUUCGUGUAUUUUGUCACUGGCUUUGUAAUCACAGCAACUUUGGAAAUGUUAUAUUGUGCUGUAUUAUGUUCUCAUCGGCAAUGUUGGCAGCAGAGGACCCACUACGCCCAAACGCCGACCGCAACAAGGUACUAAACAAAUUUGAUGUUUUUUUCACGGGUGUCUUCACAAUAGAACUGUUACUGAAAUUGAUUUCAUAUGGCUUCGUGUUGCACGACGGAGCCUUCUGUAGAUCUGCAUUUAAUCUUCUCGAUUUACUUGUAGUCUGCGUCUCCUUAAUAUCAAUGCAGUCCAGUUCGAAUGCGAUUUCAUUCGUGAAAAUAUUAAGAGUACUUCGCGUUUUAAGGCCUCUGCGUGCCAUUAAUCGUGCCAAAGGACUCAAGCAUGUAGUUCAAUGUGUAAUAGUGGCUGUCAAGACAAUCGGAAAUAUUGUCUUAGUGACUUGCCUUCUGCAAUUUAUGUUUGCCGUAAUAGGAGUCCAGUUGUUUAAGGGGAAAUUCAGUUUAUGUUCGGAUGGCUCAAAAAUGAGGAGAGAGGACUGUCAUGGCACCUACUUAUUUUAUGAAGAUGGAGAUGUACAUAAGCCGCGGUUAAAGGAGCGCGCAUGGGAUAAAAACAAAUUUCACUUCGAUGAUGUUGCCAAAGCGAUGCUCACCUUGUUCACUGUUUCAACUUUUGAAGGAUGGCCAGCGCUUUUAUAUGUAUCUAUUGAUUCUAAUGAAGUAGACGGUGGACCGAUACAUAAUUUCCGUCCCAUUGUUGCUGCUUAUUACAUAAUUUACAUAAUUGUAAUAGCCUUUUUUAUGGUAAACAUCUUUGUCGGUUUCGUUAUCGUAACUUUUCAAAACGAAGGUGAACAAGAAUAUAAAAACUGUGAUUUGGAUAAAAAUCAAAGAAAUUGCAUAGAAUUUGCGCUUAAAGCAAAACCAGUAAGGCGUUAUAUACCAAAACAUGGCAUACAAUAUAAAGUAUGGUGGUUUGUUACGUCAUCAUCAUUUGAAUACACCAUAUUUAUUUUAAUUAUGAUUAAUACUGUGACUCUUGCAAUGAAAUACCACAAUCAACCACCGUGGUACACUGAGCUCUUAGAUGCUCUAAAUAUGAUUUUUACUGCCGUGUUUGCGCUAGAAUUUGUGUUUAAGUUGGCGGCUUUUCGUUUCAAAAAUUACUUUGGAGAUGCUUGGAAUGUUUUUGAUUUCAUAAUAGUAUUGGGUAGUUUUAUUGACAUUGUUUAUUCCGAAAUAAAGAAUAAGGAUACUUCAUCUCUGCCUUGUGACAUCGUAGAGGGAUGCAAAGCGAAGGCCAAGACGGGAUCAAAUUUGAUAUCAAUAAACUUUUUCCGUUUAUUCCGCGUUAUGCGCUUGGUUAAAUUAUUGAGCAAAGGAGAAGGAAUUCGGACACUACUGUGGACAUUUAUCAAAUCUUUCCAAGCUCUUCCUUAUGUAGCUUUGUUAAUAAUUAUGUUGUUUUUUAUUUAUGCGGUUAUUGGAAUGCAGGUUUUCGGAAAAAUCAAUCUGAGUGACGAGACCGCCAUACACCGGAAUAAUAAUUUCCAAACAUUUCCACAGGCAGUACUAGUCCUUUUUCGUUCUGCAACGGGGGAAGGCUGGCAAGAAAUAAUGAUGUCUUGUUCGACAGACGAAGAUGUACGUUGCGAUCCGAAAUCCGAUAUGACCAAAGAUUGUGGGUCAAAUAUUGCAUUUCCUUACUUUAUAUCCUUCUACGUUCUUUGCUCGUUCCUUAUUAUCAAUUUGUUUGUUGCUGUUAUAAUGGAUAACUUUGAUUAUUUGACUCGCGAUUGGUCGAUUCUCGGACCCCAUCAUUUGGAUGAAUUCAUCCGCCUUUGGAGUGAAUACGAUCCAGAUGCUAAAGGGCGCAUAAAACAUUUAGACGUGGUUACGCUCUUACGGAAAAUUUCACCUCCGUUAGGAUUUGGUAAACUUUGUCCACAUCGAAUGGCAUGUAAAAGACUUGUUUCCAUGAAUAUGCCGCUAAACUCUGAUGGUACUGUUCUUUUCAAUGCAACCCUGUUUGCAGUUGUAAGAACAUCACUAAGCAUAAAAACUGAUGGAAAUAUUGACGAGGCUAAUGCGGAAUUAAGAGCAACAAUAAAACAAAUUUGGAAACGUACCAGUCCUAAACUCUUGGAUCAGGUGGUACCACCACCAGGAAAUGAUGACGAGGUUACCGUUGGAAAAUUCUAUGCCACAUAUUUGAUUCAGGAUUACUUCAGACGAUUUAAAAAACGAAAGGAACAAGAAGGUAAAGAAGGACAGUCUGAAAAUGCGACUCUAACACUACAAGCGGGAUUGCGAACAUUACAUGAAGUAUCACCAGCAUUGAAACGGGCGAUUUCCGGAAACUUAGACGAGCUAUCUGAGGAACCUGAGCCGAUGCAUAGGAGGCAUCAUACGCUGUUUGGGACAGUGUGGUCAUCGUUUCGACGACAUGGUAACAGCUUUAGGCAUGAUCGGAAAAAUAAAAAAUCGCAGUUAAAUGGAGAUAUUGGUGGUACCGAAUCAACGCCUACUGCUGCUGACUCGUCUAAUUUGAAUCCGAUGUACGACACCAACGGCUGCAAUGUAUCUGAUAGCAUAAAUCAUAUUACAAAAAGUCUGAUUCAAGCGAGAUUUGGUUCCGAACCGACUGAAUGCGGUGGCAGUAAUUCCAUUGAAUACCAUGACUUUAAUGCUCCUGGUAACUUUCGUACAUUUAGUGAGAGCAUAUCCUUGCGGCCACUUGUCAUGAAUAGGGACGAUGGUAAUAACUUGCUAACUCUUACUUCAGAGUACAUGACAAAUCAAGAAAGUCUAUUUGCUACAACAGAAUCUUAUGACAAAUGGUAUUCGUGGCCACGAUCGUGCGAUGCUAACAAAAAUAGGUAGCCCUUAUGAUCCCCAUCCUUCAGCAACUUUAUCUAAAGUCAACGGUCCUGCAGAAAGUCUCGUUGGCGGGGUACUAGUUGCAGAAGGUCUAGGAAAAUAUUGCGAUUCAGAAUUCGUUGGUCAAGCAACUCGUGAAAUGCAAGAGGCUUUAGAUAUGAC